RNAcentral lists this long non-coding RNA (6017 nucleotides) under Solanum lycopersicum (tomato). Its description in RNAcentral is "long non-coding RNA (SLYC_LNC001078)". The record is from RNAcentral. Lineage: Eukaryota; Viridiplantae; Streptophyta; Magnoliopsida; Solanales; Solanaceae.
UCAUCAAUGGCCAUAGCAAAGGCAGGAGCAACAAACAAUACAUUUGGUUCUUUAGUCACAGGUGCAAAUGUCAUGAAAGUCCCUGGCCUUAACACACUUGGUGUGUCCAUGGCUCGUAUCGACUAUGCCCCUGGUGGAAUUAACCCACCUCACACUCACCCUCGUGCCACUGAAAUGAUCUUUGUAUUAGAGGGUGAAUUAGACGUUGGCUUUAUUACAACUUCAAAUGUUUUGAUUACAAAACAUAUUGUUAAAGGUGAAGUGUUUGCUUUCCCUAGAGGACUUGUACAUUUCCAACAGAACAAUGGGGAUGUUCCGGCAGCCGUCGUCGCGGGGUUCAACAGCCAGUUGCCUGGAACUCAAUCGAUCGCUACAACGUUGUUCGCUUCAUCACCAACUGUUCCUGAUAGUGUCUUGACUAAAACAUUCCAAGUUGGUACUAAGGAAAUUCAGAAAAUUAAGUCAAGGCUGGCACCCAAGAAAUAGAUUAUUCGUUAAUUAAUUGAUCGUGUGACAAUUAAUUCGUUUGGUGAGAGCUUGUUAAUUGAUAGGGAUUUGUGGGUUUAUAUACGACGGGGAAUGGAUUGUAUAUCUUUUGUUUCAAAUAAUGUUGUAAACAUUCUAUUGUUUCUCUGUUGGUAAUAAAUGUGAUCGUUCUGUUUCUACAACUCAUAGAUACAUGAGUGAAACAUACUACAAAAGAUAGCCAUAAUUCAUAAACAUAAGAGAUCACGAAAAAAAGUGGAACAUAAUAAAAAGAAGUGCUAAACUCUCUCUCCUUCUGUUUAAUAAAGGAUGACCUAAUUUGAUUUGAAACGGAGUUUAAGACUUUUUAAAAUGUUUCAAAAUGUCUUUUAAUAUUGUGAUCUUAAACAUGUCAUGUGAAAAGUUAAAAUUAUAGUGUUACCAAAAAAAAGGAAUCAUUCUUUUUCAAAACAAACUAUAAAGAAAAUAGAAACAUUCUUUUAGAAACGGAAGGUGUAUUUUUUUCUUCUUUGUUUACUCAAAUCUACGAAUUUAAUGUUAAAGAUGGGCCGGGUUGUAUCAAGCAACCCCCAACCUCCUUGUCCGUCAAUAUCAAAACUAUUUAAGAGUCAAGUCUUGCAUUUUUUUUCCUUGUUUGUUUCCGUCUUAUUUCAUCACAAUAUGAGAGUUAAUUCUAUGCGAUAUGAUGAAAGAUAGCAAGAAUGUGACAUAAUAAAGACGACUUUAUUUACGUUUUACACUACGCCACCUACAUACCGUAAAAGGAAAUCAAUUGUCUUCCCUGAUAUUAACGACGUUGUACUUGAAAUUCUAUUACCCCCAUUAACAUUGCUACUAUUUUAGGGACCCUAUUUUAGUUUCAAACAGUUGUUGGAUCUUUACAAGCAAUUAAUUAACGAUAGCAGUUUGAUAUAUAUCUAUGAUCCGUUAAAAAUUUUCUUAUAGUGUUUAUAUAUAUGAUGCAUGAUUUGACUAACCAAUCAUUUAUGAUGCAUAAUUUACUUUUGCUAAACAUAAAUAUUGAAAUUUAACUAAAUAAGAUUUUUCUAUAAUACAUUUAUUGCUUAGGUGCAGGAACUUAAUUAUUUAAUAUUAUUUCAUUGUACAUGCGUAAUAGAUUUUUGAUUCUUCAAGACAUUAAAAAUUAAUCAAGGUCAAGCAUAUAUCACGCUAAAAAUAGACAAAAAAAUGACCAUCAGAAUCAAGUUAGCCCAGGCGACUAAAAAGUAAGACAGAAGGAAUAAUAUAAUUUAACAAGUACGCUAUAUAUAUAUGAUAUAAGUAAUUAAGUAGAUUGCUAAGUAUUUGUUUUCAUUUUGAGUAGGUGAGCGAACUCUUUGUGACGAGUUGAAAAUGAAAGUGAAACAAUAAUUAAGUUCGAUGUAUGGAUUAAUUUUGAACUAUACUAUUAACGCACUUGAUCUAUUAUCUGUAUUCGAAAAUAAAAAAUUAGAUAAACAGCUACAAUGUUUAAUUUUUACAAAAAGCAUAUUUUUAUGUUACAAAGAGAUAAAUAUACAUAAAAUAUUGAUUAUGAAAAUAUCUAACAAUAUAAAAGUAUUUGUUAUUAAUGAGAUUUUUAUAUCCCAAAUAGAUGUCAUCCGUGACGUUUGCGAUGUUGUAUUUCCUUAUUUUUUGGAUAUAAGCUGUAUAAGAUAAACUUUGUAUAUUACAUUGAUUAACGUGAACUUAUACUAUUUACUUACCUUUAAAGGCAGGAUUCAUCGAAAUCAUAAUACGGAGAGAUCAUUUUUCAAAUUAUUACUUUUUUUUUAUAAAAGUCAAAUAUAAUAUAGGGUCUAAUUUGUGUCAUUGUAAAAUCAUUUAACUUAUCAAUUAUUCCGUGAAAGCCAAUAAAUUACUUUUUAUUCACAUUAGAAUUGUCCAACUCAUGAAUUGUUCAAAAAAUUGCUAAAGUAAUUUUUAAUUAUUUUGAAUCCAUUAAACUUUAUGACUGCUUACUCAUAAGAUAGAGGAAAUUUCAAGGAUGGUUAUCCAAUCUUAUUAUACGAGAUGUCUUUUGUUACAUAAUUAUAUUUUACUUUCACUAUAAUUUUCUCAAAAAUUGUUUUCAUUAGGCUUGAGGAGGCAGUUUAUUUGGUAUGUUUGAACAAAUAAAUGAAAGAAAAUUAAAGGUUGAACAGAAGAAUGAACAACAAUGAAAAGAAUCAAAAAAUUAAGUUUAUAAUUAUCCUAGAACUCUUUUCUUUUACGGUUUGGAUCAUUGCUAUUUAUAGUAUCAAAAAUAUUAUUUUAUAUUAUAUUUAUCUAUUAUAUUGUAUAAUAUGGUAGAUAUAAUGUUUGGUUAAACUAUAUUAUUUGGUGUUGUUUAAUAACAUUUCUAUUAUUUGUACUAAAUAUCUUCAAUUAUUCUAGGAUAAGAAAAAUAUAAGGUAAAAUAGUAUUAUGUAAGGAUAUAUUUAGAGAAAGAAUAAAUUAAUUAACAACGAGAAUAUACCAAAUCAGUUAUUCCAUAAAAUAAGAAUUUUCAUUGUUAAAUAACAACGAAAUUUAACAAUAAAAUAUAAUACAAUAUAAUUUUAACUAACAAUCGAAUCAAAUAUUAUUUAUAUGAUAAUGAUACAAUACAAUAUAAUAAAUAUAAUGAUAUAAACAAAGCAAUAGUUAUGACAAGUUUUAGACCAUUCACGUUAUCGAAAUUAAUUAAUUAAUUAAUUAAGAUUAAGACAAUUUUUGUCAUAACCUGAUCAAAAUAAGAUGAUUUUUUUUUGAUAAAAAAUAGAUAAAAUAAAUACCUAAUACUUCGCUUUGGGUCAAAGAGGAUAUAAACAGCAUGGUUCUUGCGUUUGCACCGCACGCUUUCUUCACGUGACUUCAAAGUCUACUCAAGUUUUUUUUUGAAGAGUUUGAUAUGGUUUAAUUUGAAAGUUGACCAAAUUGAUUAUUUUAAAUUAAUUUUUAGCUUUUGAGUGUUUGAUAAAUUUAAAUAAAUUUAAAAAAAGUUAAAGGUCACAAAAAAAUCAUUUAUAUUUUUAAUUUUUAACUUAAAAAUUAUUUAAGUUUGACCAUUUUUUAAAAGCUACUACAUGUUUUUCAACAAUAGUUGUGCACUAUUUACUUGACACAUUUCUUAAGAAAUAAUAAUAGCAGGAUAAUAUUACUCUCUCCGUCCACAAUUGUUUGACAGAUAUAUACUAGAAAUAGAUGUCCAAGAUUAAUUAUCAAUUUAAACAUUUAAGAAAUAAUUAGUCAUUUUUUUUUUUCAAUUCUAUCCUUAAUAAUUACUCCAUUUUGUUCAAUUAAAAAGCCAUGUAGACUUUUCACAUUCUUGAUAUAAUAGACUUAUAUUACUCAAAUUACACAUUGUAUAAAAUUUCUCUUAAAAGGAAGGCAUGAUCUUAUUCAGACAAAUAAUUAUAGACAAAGGGAGUACUAUUUUAUCUUUUUGAGUUUAUUAAAUUUAAUGCUCUGAAAAAUCUAUUAAUAAAUAGUAUUUAAUAAUAAAAAAUAAAUAAUCUAAAAGAAAAAUUAUAUUAUUGAACAAGUAUUUUUUAUAUAGCGAACGCUAUUGUUAGAUGGAGGGUGUAUUUUUCUUUUAAAAAGCAAAUCGAAAUAGACUCUGUGUCUAUUCUCCUCUUAUAAAUAAAGCUCAUUCAAUUUUCUCUCUCCAUUGUCCCAAAAGUACUACCUGUUAUUUAAUUCAAAGCUCUCUCUAAAAUAAAUUCCUCUCUUUUUUGCCUAAAUCAAAAUAAGAAAUUAUUUCUUAUCAAUACUUUUCAUCUUAAUUCCACCAUGUCUGCCUUUGGAAAAUUUGUUGUAAUUAUGGCUGUUGUUAUGUUAGCCAUUAGUUUAGAUAAAGCUUCUGCUGGAGAUCCAGAUAUGCUUCAAGAUGUUUGUGUUGCUGAUCUUACAAACAGUAAGUUUAAUUUAACUUCCUCCGUUUUAAAAAGAACUAUUUUUCUUUUUAGACGUUUGAAAAUAAAUGAUCAUUUCUCUCUUUUUUUCGAUAAUAUUUUAAUUUUAAUUUUUUAUUUGUUAUAGAUACACUUAACAUAAAUUAAAUUGAGGGUCACAUAUUGAAAAGUUUUCUUUAAUUUUUUAAAUUUUAUUUCAAAUCAAACUAGUUAACGCGAUAUUUUUGUUUUGUGGUUUUGUUUGCCUUAAUUAAUUUCUCAUUUUGUAGUAGAUCUUGACUUUUCUACUUGUCCAAAUUGCUUCUACUUGCUUGCUUACUUGUUUUAGAUUUAUUAUGAGUGUUGAAUCAACAUCCAACUAUAUGAAUUAGCUGGCAAAAGUUAAAAAGAAGAAAAUUGACUAUAUCAAUGAUAGAAAAUUGUCCCAAAUUAUCUGUUUUGAUUUAAACCAAUAAUUGUUUCAAUAAUAUAAUUUGUUCUAAACACUACAAAUGCCUCAAAAACGUAGAUACUUAUUAAAAGUGAUUAUAAUUAUAUUUUUAAAGAUAUAUAAUUAAAGGUAAAAUAAUUUUUAAAAAUACUCCUCCGAAUUAAUGGGUUUUUAUUGAACUUGUAAAUAAAUGAGUAUUGGUUAGCAGCGGUGACAAUGGUCACCAAAUAUAAUCAAUUCCCUUUUUUGUCGUAAAGAGCAGUUUGGUACACCCACUUUUGAAAUCUAUCAUAAAAGAUAUACUUAAUCACUUUCUCAAAUAAGUAUAUCUUCUUAGAGUAGUAAGAUAUUAAAAAUAAAUUGAUGUUUUCUUUGUUUUUAAGUGAAAGAUUUUGGUACACUUUUUUUUGAGAAAAUGCAAAGUAUUCCUCAAUUUAUGGCCGAAAUUUCAUGAACAUACUUAUACUUUACUAAGGUCUUAUUACUCCCUCAAACUUAUUUCAUAAAUAAUUUUCUACCUCUUUUCGACCUACGUGGCACUAUCAUUGAAAAAACGUUGGGCACAGAAGAUAGUGUCAAGUAAGCCGAAAAAAGUAGAAAAUUAUUUAUAAAAUAAAUUCAAAAAUAAUAGUACAUUAAUAUUGUAUAAGUGUGUCUCUGAGAUUUCGAGCAUAGUUCAAGAUACAUUAUACAUUUUUUCCUCUCUUUUUUUUACUAAAGUAAAAAUAUAAAAAGGACAAAAAGAUAAAGUACUACUUAGCUAACAUUUCGUACUAUAUAUGCAAUAGGAAAAUGUCUUCCACAUUAUUAUUAUCUAAUCAUUUAUUUUAUACAACACUACUUAUGCAAUUUUCUGUUUUAUGUACACGAAAACAGGCUUAACAGUAAAUGGUUAUUUUUGUAAGAAGAACUUUUCAGAAAUAGACUUUUCAUCAAUGGCCAUAGCAAAGGCAGGAGCAACAAACAAUACAUUUGGUUCUUUAGUCACAGGUGCAAAUGUCAUGAAAGUCCCUGGCCUUAACACACUUGGUGUGUCCAUGGCUCGUAUCGACUAUGCCCCUGGUGGAAUUAACCCACCUCACACUCACCCUCGUGCCACUGAAAUGAUUUUUGUUUUAGAGGGUGAACUAGACGUUGGUUUUAUUACAACAUCAAAUGUUUUGAUUACAAAACAUAUUGUCAAAGGUGAAGUGUUUGCUUUUCCCAGAGGACUUGUACAUUUCCAA